GCCAGACUCCUACGGGAGGCAGCAGUGGGGGAUAUUGCACAAUGGGGGGAACCCUGAUGCAGCGACGCCGCGUGGGUGAAGAAGCGCCUCGGCGCGUAAAGCCCUGUCAGCAGGGAAGAAAAUGACGGUACCUGAAGAAGAAGCCCCGGCUAACUACGUGCCAGCAGCCGCGGUAAUACGUAGGGGGCAAGCGUUAUCCGGAUUUACUGGGUGUAAAGGGAGCGUAGACGGCCAUGCAAGCCUGGAGUGAAAGCCCGGGGCCCAACCCCGGGACUGCUCUGGGAACUGUGCGGCUGGAGUGCGGGAGGGGCAGGCGGAAUUCCUGGUGUAGCGGUGAAAUGCGUAGAUAUCAGGAGGAACACCGGCGGCGAAGGCGGCCUGCUGGACCGCGACUGACGUUGAGGCUCGAAAGCGUGGGGAGCAAACAGGAUUAGAUACCCCAGUAA
Molecule: ribosomal RNA, 446 nt
Filed under: uncultured bacterium
Lineage: Bacteria
Description: bacterial SSU rRNA
Rfam family: Bacterial small subunit ribosomal RNA
Source: RNAcentral